Molecule: transfer RNA, 159 nt
Filed under: Pirellulales bacterium
Lineage: Bacteria; Pseudomonadati; Planctomycetota; Planctomycetia; Pirellulales
Description: tRNA-Leu
Source: RNAcentral
GGUGGAGUUGCCCAACAAGAAACCGGGUUCCCCAAGUGGCAGUGUCAUCAAAUUAGGACACUGCCUCAAAUAGGGGGCACCAAAAACAUUUUGGACAACGCGCUGGAUCCAAAAUCCAGUGGCCGCAAGGUCGUGUGGGUUCGAGUCCCACCUCCGGUA